GAUGAACGCUGGCGGCGUGCCUAAUACAUGCAAGUCGAGCGAACGGACGAGAAUCUUGUUUCUCUUAUGUUAGCGGCGGACGGGUGAGGAACACGUGGAUAACCUACCUAUAAGACUGGGAUAACUUCGGGAGACCGGAGCUAAUACCGGACAAUAUUUUGAACCGCAUGGUUCAAAAGUAAAAGACGGUCUUGCUGUCUCUUAUAGAUGGAUCCGCGCUGCAUUAGCUAGUUGGUAAGGUAACGGCUUACCAAGGCAACGAUGCAUAGCCGACCUGAGAGGGUGAUCGGCCACACUGGAACUGAGACACGGUCCAGACUCCUACGGGAGGCAGCAGUAGGGAAUCUUCCGCAAUGGGCGAAAGCCUGACGGAGCAACGCCGCGUGAGUGAUGAAGGUCUUCGGAUCGUAAAACUCUGUUAUUAGGGAAGAACAUAUGUGUAAGUAACUGUGCACAUCUUGACGGUACCUAAUCAGAAAGCCACGGCUAACUACGUG
Molecule: ribosomal RNA, 497 nt
Filed under: uncultured bacterium
Lineage: Bacteria
Description: partial 16S ribosomal RNA
Rfam family: Bacterial small subunit ribosomal RNA
Source: RNAcentral